Molecule: ribosomal RNA, 399 nt
Filed under: uncultured bacterium
Lineage: Bacteria
Description: bacterial SSU rRNA
Rfam family: Bacterial small subunit ribosomal RNA
Source: RNAcentral
AUUGAACGCUGGCGGCAGGCCUAACACAUGCAAGUCGAGCGGUAGAGAGGUGCUUGCAUCUCUUGAGAGCGGCGGACGGGUGAGUAAUGCCUAGGAAUCUGCCUAGUGGUGGGGGACAACGUUCGGAAACGGACGCUAAUACCGCAUACGUCCUACGGGAGAAAGCGGGGGAUCUUCGGACCUCGCGCCAUUAGAUGAGCCUAGGUCGGAUUAGCUAGUUGGUGAGGUAAUGGCUCACCAAGGCGACGAUCCGUAACUGGUCUGAGAGGAUGAUCAGUCACACUGGAACUGAGACACGGUCCAGACUCCUACGGGAGGCAGCAGUGGGGAAUUUUGGACAAUGGGCGCAAGCCUGAUCCAGCAAUGCCGCGUGCAGGAUGAAGGCCUCGGUUGUAACGU